CAGCCAUUAAUCCACUUUCUGUUUCUACAUAUUUCCUCUUCUGGACAUUCAAUAAUUUCAAAGAAAGGAGGGAAGUACUAGAGAAACACAGAACCAUUAUACCUGAAGUUCUUUUCCACUCGGGCUUCACUGGGGAACAAAGGCAAGGAAUCUGAAAUGCAGUAUACUUUCAAGGAGUGUAUAAUUGAAUGGGGGAA
This is a long non-coding RNA of Mustela erminea (ermine), 197 nucleotides long. RefSeq lists it as uncharacterized. The record is from RefSeq and is a predicted model, not a curated record. The transcript is spliced from 3 exons. Lineage: Eukaryota; Metazoa; Chordata; Mammalia; Carnivora; Mustelidae.